Molecule: ribosomal RNA, 468 nt
Filed under: uncultured bacterium
Lineage: Bacteria
Description: partial 16S ribosomal RNA
Rfam family: Bacterial small subunit ribosomal RNA
Source: RNAcentral
GACGAACGCUGGCGGCGUGCUUAACACAUGCAAGUCGAACGGAAAGGCCCUGCUUUUGUGGGGUGCUCGAGUGGCGAACGGGUGAGUAACACGUGAGUAACCUGCCCCUGACUUUGGGAUAACUUCAGGAAACUGGGGCUAAUAUCGGAUAGGAGCUCCUGCUGCAUGGUGGGGGUUGGAAAGUUUCGGCGGUUGGGGAUGGACUCGCGGCUUAUCAGCUUGUUGGUGGGGUAGUGGCUUACCAAGGCUUUGACGGGUAGCCGGCCUGAGAGGGUGACCGGCGACAUUGGGACUGAGAUACGCCCCAGACUCCUACGGGAGGCAGCAGUGGGAAAUAUUGCACAAUGGGCCGAAGCCUGAUGCAGCAACGCCGCGUGCGGGAUGACGGCCUUCGGGUGGUAAACCGCUUUCGCCUGUGACGAAGCGUGAGUGACGGUAAUGGGUAAAGAAGCACCGGCUAACUACGUG